AACGAACGCUGGCGGCAUGCCUAACACAUGCAAGUCGAACGAGACCUUCGGGUCUAGUGGCGCACGGGUGCGUAACGCGUGGGAACCUGCCCUUAGGUUCGGAAUAACUCCCCGAAAGGGGUGCUAAUACCGGAUAAUGUCUUCGGACCAAGGAUUUAUCGCCUUUGGAUGGGCCCGCGUUGGAUUAGCUAGUUGGUAGGGUAAAAGUCUACCAAGGCGACGAUCCAUAGCUGGUCUGAGAGGAUGAUCAGCCACACUGGGACUGAGACACGGCCCAGACUCCUACGGGAGGCAGCAGUGGGGAAUAUUGGACAAUGGGCGAAAGCCUGAUCCAGCAAUGCCGCGUGAGUGAUGAAGGCCUUAGGGUUGUAAAGCUCUUUUACCCGGGAUGAUAAUGACAGUACCGGGAGAAUAAGCUCCGGCUAACUCCGUG
Molecule: ribosomal RNA, 433 nt
Filed under: uncultured bacterium
Lineage: Bacteria
Description: partial 16S ribosomal RNA
Rfam family: Bacterial small subunit ribosomal RNA
Source: RNAcentral